CCUUUGGGUGGGGAAUAACUCAGGGAAACUUGAGCUAAUACCGCAUAAUGCAGCGGCUCGACAUCGAGGCAGUUGUUAAAGCGGGGGAUCGCAAGACCUCGCGCCUGAAGAGAAGCCUGCGGCAGAUUAGCUAGUUGGUAAGGUAAUGGCUUACCAAGGCGACGAUCUGUAACCGGCCUGAGAGGGCGGUCGGUCACACUGACACUGACAUACGGGUCAG
RNAcentral lists this ribosomal RNA (220 nucleotides) under uncultured bacterium. RNAcentral's name for it is "partial 16S ribosomal RNA". It matches the Rfam family "Bacterial small subunit ribosomal RNA", at positions 129 to 334 of the family's 1533-position model. The record is from RNAcentral.